This 76-nucleotide transfer RNA is filed under the name Hadarchaeum yellowstonense (SeqCode). Its description in RNAcentral is "tRNA-Val". It matches the Rfam family "tRNA". Rfam says of the family: Transfer RNA (tRNA) molecules are approximately 80 nucleotides in length. Their secondary structure includes four short double-helical elements and three loops (D, anti-codon, and T loops). Further hydrogen bonds mediate the characteristic L-shaped molecular structure. tRNAs have two regions of fundamental functional importance: the anti-codon, which is responsible for specific mRNA codon recognition, and the 3' end, to which the tRNAs corresponding amino acid is attached (by aminoacyl-tRNA synthetases). tRNAs cope with the degeneracy of the genetic code in two manners: having more than one tRNA (with a specific anti-codon) for a particular amino acid; and 'wobble' base-pairing, i.e. permitting non-standard base-pairing at the 3rd anti-codon position. Lineage: Archaea; Methanobacteriati; Hadarchaeota (SeqCode); Hadarchaeia (SeqCode); Hadarchaeales (SeqCode); Hadarchaeaceae (SeqCode). The record is from RNAcentral. RNAcentral also lists the same sequence under 1 other name.
GGGCCCGUAGUCCAGUGGUUAAGACGCCACCCUUACAAGGUGGAGAUCCCGAGUUCGAGUCUCGGCGGGCCCACCA